Molecule: ribosomal RNA, 465 nt
Filed under: uncultured bacterium
Lineage: Bacteria
Description: bacterial SSU rRNA
Rfam family: Bacterial small subunit ribosomal RNA
Source: RNAcentral
UCCAGACUCCUACGGGAGGCAGCAGUGGGGAAUAUUGGUCAAUGGCCGAGAGGCUGAACCAGCCAAGUCGCGUGAGGGAUUAAGGCCCUAUGGGUCGUAAACCUCUUUUGUCAGGGAGCAAUGGCGUCCACGUGUGGGCGUAUGGAGAGUACCUGAAGAAAAAGCAUCGGCUAACUCCGUGCCAGCAGCCGCGGUAAUACGGAGGAUGCGAGCGUUAUCCGGAUUUAUUGGGUUUAAAGGGUGCGUAGGCGGGACCUUAAGUCAGCGGUAAAAUUGCGGUGCUCAACGCCGUAGAGCCGUUGAAACUGGCAGUCUCGAGUUGGAGAGAAGUAUGCGGAAUGCGCGGUGUAGCGGUGAAAUGCAUAGAUAUCGCGCAGAACUCCGAUUGCGAAGGCAGCAUGCCGGCUCCACACUGACGCUGAGGCACGAAAGCGUGGGUAUCGAACAGGAUUAGAUACCCCUGUA